AUACGGAGACUACGAGCGUUACUCGGAUUCACUGGGCGUAAAGGGAGCGCAGGCGGAAUGAUGUGUUAGGUGUGAAAUCCCGGGGCUUAGCUCCGGAACUGCGCCUAAAACUAUCAAUCUAGAGUAUUGGAGAGGCAAGCGGAAUUUCUGGUGUAGCGGUAAAAUGCGCAGAUAUCAGAAGGAACACCGAAGGCGAAGGCAGCUUGCUGGACAAUAACUGACGCUCAUGCUACG
This 234-nucleotide ribosomal RNA is filed under the name uncultured bacterium. RNAcentral describes it as "partial 16S ribosomal RNA". It matches the Rfam family "Bacterial small subunit ribosomal RNA", at positions 523 to 755 of the family's 1533-position model. The record is from RNAcentral.